This 20-nucleotide ribosomal RNA is filed under the name Candidatus Phytoplasma oryzae. RNAcentral describes it as "partial 23S ribosomal RNA". The record is from RNAcentral. Lineage: Bacteria; Bacillati; Mycoplasmatota; Mollicutes; Acholeplasmatales; Acholeplasmataceae.
AUCAAAGGAAUAAAGGGCGU